This is a long non-coding RNA of Triticum aestivum (bread wheat), 4257 nucleotides long. RefSeq lists it as uncharacterized. NCBI's taxonomy places the organism in Eukaryota, Viridiplantae, Streptophyta, Magnoliopsida, Poales, Poaceae. The record is from RefSeq and is a predicted model, not a curated record. The transcript is spliced from 3 exons.
CACGCCGCCGCCGCCCCCAUCUUCUGCGACCACCACGCCGUCGACGCCGUCCUGAAGCAUGCUGCUCCUCUCCCUAGCCAAGUCGCCCUGGAUCUCGCGAUGGAGGUGGCCGCCUCGUGGCCAUGGAGGGCUCGCCAGCCGCCUCCGGAGUCCCACAUCCCCAAGAUCGACUGGAUUGCAGCCGCCUGGCCGAGGUCGUCGGCCCUCGACGGGCUGGCACUACCUCGCCUGUGCUUGCUCCCGUCCAUGCCGCCGUCCUGCUCGGUCCGCGGCAUGACCUGCUCGCCGCGCCCGCCCAAACCCCAGGCCACACUUCCUCUUCCACUCCGCGUACUCCUGGUUGCAGCCCCUGCUCGCCACAGGCAGGGAUCAGCGGCUCGCCGGCGUGGCGCGUGGCAGCGGAGAGAAGGGGGGCAAGAUCGGCGAGGCAGAGUUCUUCCGGAAGGACGGCGUGGUGGGCGACAUGGAGGGAUACCUCAACUACCUGUCCCUCGAGUAUGACUUCGUCUCGGACACCAAUCCUGCUUGGGGAAGGCGGGAGAGGGCGCCAUCGGCAUCUCUGUCCUCCUCUACUUGGUGGCCGCCAUGUACGCAGAAGACCAUGAGGUCGCCGGGUCCGUCGCUGGCUGACCGAAGCAGGGUACCCAGACUCUGCCGUCGGUCGCGAGCCUCGCCGUCUACCUUCACCAGCCACCCCGAACGCCGUUUGUCCGGCUGGGCGGGGAAGGAGCGACGAUUCGGAGAUGUAGCAGAGCGCUUGGCCGCAGCUGCUCUCGGCACGCGACGGCGUGCCCCGCGUCCAGAGGCUCGCCUCGGCGCCCACAUCGUCCUCCUACUACUUCUCGGUGCCGCUGACCCGGCGGGAGCCGAGGGAGGUGACGUACAUCCAGAGCGUCUGCGCGCAGAUGAUCCGGCUCUGGUGCUCCAUCCCCGCCAGGCGCAGCGCGAAAUCUGGAAGAGGUGAGGAUGCUCUUCUUAAUUUGCUCGGUUAUACGUUUCUGUAUGCCGCGUGAGUUUCUGAUGAGCGUGAGGCAGAGAGAGAUAUCCAAGUACUGAUGAGUUCCUCGUGCGUGCGGGCGGGCGCAGAUCACAGCUUUACUGUAUGCUAUUUUCGUCAUGUUGAUUCCUUUGAUAAUAGCUACAAUGUUAACAAUUUUUGUUAGUUAUUUGAACAAAAUAGCCAGGGAUGCUGUCCAGCUGAUGCUUGGUAUCCACUCGAAGUUCAUCAUCCAAUGUAUUGAGGUUAUCUACCUGGACUCUGUAGUGACUUUAUAUUUUCUAUAAAAAUAUGAAUUUCAUGCUACGCACUGAAUAACUGUACAUUCCGACCCUUUCCUCGCCCAUGUCGUAUGCCGUCAGCAAACAUCACAAAACAGAACCUGUUUAUGUCAUCAAAGUCACACAACUCACUAACUACAAUCAAACUGAAGACUUCAUUUUCCUUUUACUUUGUUGCACAUUUGCAUCCAGGUCAAAUUUCCCAUUUGUAUCUGAGAGUAAACCAUGCUUGUAUACAUGAAAAAAUGAGCACGCUUUCGACAGUCCUUGGUAGAAAAGAUACAUACUGAUGAUUGCCAUCUCAAGUUUAGUGUUGUCAACUUCAAGUCCCUGGUCCCUGCUGCUCUGAACUGAGACAUAUUUGACCCACAGUUGGCUGCACACUAACUGUUGGACAGAAUGUUGACAUGUUGUGCUUACUUUAUAUCAUGAUGUAUGAUUACUUUAUAACAUGUUAUAUGUCUUCGUAAACGGUCCCAAAAAGGCAAAGAUAACUUCAGUUUUGUUUGGUGAUUGCCAAUCCGGCCAUAGCACAGCACCACUCCAAGCUCGAGAAGGAUUGCAUUUUUUGUGUUUUGUGCCAUCACAUAUUGUUCCAUCCUCACGUAUGUAUAACAGUAUAAGUGAAGAAUUACUAGACCUCUCCUAGGCACAUGCUGAUCCAUUUCAUAUUCUUCUAAAUUUAAGAGUCACCAUUUAAAUUGCCCUGGAUUAAAGCUACGUGCAUUGAUAUUUAUUAAUUGUUGAAGCUCUAUUUUUUUGUUCAAUUUUGCCUAGGAUCUCUCGAUGAUGAUCAGCAGUAUUGCAAGUUCGGCAGAAAUAAGUGAAUACUGGUCAGUAUAAUUAUAUGACGAUAAUAUUGGGGUACAAGAUCAUUUCCUAUUUUUCAUGGAGUUAGAGAACAAGAUGGUGCGUUGCAUGUUGCACAUUCAGUAUUGCUACAUAAUUAGCAGGUGAUCUUUAGACAAGUGAAUGUCUAACUGCCAUUGUCAAGUGACAGUGAGAAGAACAACGUUUACAGCCUGUGGAGUAUCUUCCAAGUUAGAUAUACCAUCCCGCUAGGUCAAGAUUUACUGAAAUGGAUUAUACUUAGAGUUGGGACGUCGCCUUACUUUUAACAUUUCAAACAGUUUCCCUUCUCUAGGUAUGGGUGUUUCUCAAGCUGUCGCUCGAGUUUCUCAUCAUGCUCUGCAAUUAGAUUUUCUACCUCUUCAUGAUCAUUGUCUUGACAAGCGAAGUCCAAGAUGGGUAGAUUGUCGUACACUCGCUUGGUAUCUGGUACUUAAUUACUUGCUUACUCUUAUUACUCCCUCCGUAAACUAAUAUAAGAGCGUUUAGAUCAGUACUUUAGUAAUCGAAACGCUCUUAUAUUAAUUUAAAGAGGGAGUACUUGGCUGCUGAGCUCACAAUCAGAAGUUCAGAACCACAACUUGAUGAGAACAUUCUGAGCUAACCAAAUAUAGUGCGCUUCUCUUUUUAUUCUACAUUCUAUGGAAUACUAAUUAUAGCAUGGGAAGGUAUGAUCUUGAUGGCCUCUAUGCUGCUAUCACGUCAGGUUAGUUACAACUACAUGUAUAAACUGUUACUCUUUGCUCUGAUUCUCAUCUUGCUGAGGAUUAAAUUCUUGUCAAGUAGUUUCAUCAGAUAGUUCUUAGUAGUGCAUUUUCCCAGUCACAAAAUUUUCCUUUAUCCCCAAGGAUAAGUUAGAGCAUAAAAAUGAAUUCAGGAACUGGGGUGGAUAUUGUUAGGAAGGGCAUAUUGUUGUACAUCUAUGCCUGCCUGCACUAUGCACCAUUUCAUUCACACGGGAAGGUAUUGUAACAUCCAGAAAUAACAAGCUAGCUGAAAAGAUAUGCAGACUAUUGACUUAAUGGUUGUGAAACUCAAAUAUUUGGAGUUGCCCAAAAGGGAAAUAGAGGUUCAGAGUUACAGUGGAAGCCACCACCCACUGAAACUGCAAUGAGUUGACUGGAAAAAACCACCUUCAAUAUAUAAGAGUCCCUUCUUACACCGCCCCAAAGGGAAAUAGAGGUUCAGAGUUACAGUGGAAGCCACCACCCACUGAAACUGCAACGAGUUGACUGGGAAAAACCACCUUCAAUAUAUAAGAGUUCCUUCUUACACCGCCCCAAAGGGAAAUAGAGGUUCAGAGUUACAGUGGAAGCCACCACCCACUAAAACUGCAACGAGUUGACUGGGAAAAACCACCUUCAAUAUAUAAGAGUUCCUUCUUACACCUACACUAUAAAAAAAAUAAGGAGUAUGAAAAAGUCACCUUGGAUCAUAAUUCAAGGAAUGUAUUACUCUUUGCUCCGUUCUAUUUAAAAUACAUAUUGUAACAAUUAACAUGUUAAUGUGUGUCUGGUUAUGUCUUGCCUUGCUACUUGGGUGCCAUCGAUGUCUGUUUAUUGUCUUCCAUGCAAAUAAAAGAAUCCAAAUACAUCAGGUCUCUUAAUAUUUGUACAUACUACUGAUAUUUGUUUCUUUUUUGGCUGAAGCUCUCAAAGGUGUAGCCUUCAAGCUUUACAAUAUGGGUUGGGAUUUCAGAGAUGAUUUGUGCAUUAUAAUUGUAAUUUGGGUAAUUUCUUGGUUUCAGGAACAUAACUGCAACUCGAGUGACUGAGCACAUGCAACACUGCAGGCGUACACCUUGAAACAGACACCUGAUGGCCUGGCAAGUUCUACUCCUGAAAUCAACGUCUAUGGCUUGAAGACACAAUCAUGAGCCGCGACAUCCAACCAACAGACCCACGUGUGCCGACCAAACUAAGGAGACGCCGGCGCCACUUCCCCAAAGUUAAUUUCUCCAUCCGAGUGUAAUAUUUGUCAGACAUGCGUUGCACGUGCACGCUUAUUAGAGCCAUAACUUUGAUGAUUUCUUAUCAGCUUCACAAGUUUGUAUAUUUGCUGGUUCGUACUUGAUAUGUGAUAAACAGAGCCAAAACAAAUUUGGUCAUGUUAUUGAGGGGUUUGUCUGAA